UAGGGAAUCUUCGGCAAUGGGGGGAACCCUGACCGAGCAACGCCGCGCGAGUGAAGAAGGUUUUCGGAUCGUAAAGCUCUGUUGUUAAGGAAGAACGAGUGUGAGAAUGGAAAGUUCAUGCUGUGACGGUACUUAACCAGAAAGGGACGGCUAACUACGUGCCAGCAGCCGCGGUAAUACGUAGGUCCCGAGCGUUGUCCGGAUUUAUUGGGCGUAAAGCGAGCGCAGGCGGUUAGAAAAGUCUGAAGUGAAAGGCAGUGGCUCAACCAUUGUAGGCUUUGGAAACUGUUUAACGUGAGUGCAGAAGGGGAGAAUGGAAUUCCAUGUGUAGCGGUGAAGUGCGGAGAUAUAUGGAGGAACACCGGUGGCGAAAGCGGCUCUCUGGUCUGUAACUGACGCUGAGGCUCGAAAGCGUGGGGAGCGAACAGG
RNAcentral lists this ribosomal RNA (429 nucleotides) under Bacteroidota bacterium. RNAcentral's name for it is "Bacteroidetes bacterium partial 16S ribosomal RNA". It matches the Rfam family "Bacterial small subunit ribosomal RNA", at positions 355 to 776 of the family's 1533-position model. Lineage: Bacteria; Pseudomonadati; Bacteroidota. The record is from RNAcentral.